RNAcentral lists this ribosomal RNA (545 nucleotides) under bacterium enrichment culture clone Cont41_3130. RNAcentral's name for it is "bacterial SSU rRNA". It matches the Rfam family "Bacterial small subunit ribosomal RNA", at positions 8 to 525 of the family's 1533-position model. The record is from RNAcentral.
AGAGUUUGAUCAUGGCUCAGAACGAACGCUGGCGGCGUGCUUAACACAUGCAAAGUCGAACGCGAAAAGGGACUUCGGGUCCCGAGUAGAGUGGCGCACGGGUGAGUAACGCGUAAGUAAUCUACCCCUGUAUCUGGAAUAACCCACCGAAAGGUGAGCUAAUACCGGAUACGUUUAUCUUGAUGCGAAUGAUGAUAAAGAAAGGUGGCCUCUUCAUGAAAGCUACUGUACAGGGACGAGCUUGCGUACCAUUAGCUAGUUGGUAGGGUAAUGGCCUACCAAGGCGACGAUGGUUAGCGGGUCUGAGAGGAUGAUCCGCCACACUGGAACUGGAACACGGACCAGACUCCUACGGGAGGCAGCAGUGAGGAAUUUUGCGCAAUAGGGGAAACCCUGACGCAGCAACGCCGCGUGAGUGAAGAAGGCCUUCGGGUCGUAAAGCUCUGUCAAGUGGGAAAAAACGCAGUCGGUGAAUAGCCGGGCUGAAUUGAUGGUACCACUAGAGGAAGCAACCGGCUAACUCCGUGCCAGCAGCCGCGGUAAUA